This 97-nucleotide ribosomal RNA is filed under the name uncultured bacterium. RNAcentral's name for it is "partial 16S ribosomal RNA". It matches the Rfam family "Bacterial small subunit ribosomal RNA", at positions 397 to 508 of the family's 1533-position model. The record is from RNAcentral.
CCGCGUGGACGAUGAAGGCCUUCGGGUCGUAAAGUCCUUUUGCUCGGGAACAAUAUUUUGAGCGUACCGAGAGAAUAAGAGGUUGCUAACUCUGUGC